GAUGAACGCUGGCGGCGUGCCUAAUACAUGCAAGUCGAGCGAACAGACGAGGAGCUUGCUCCUCUGACGUUAGCGGCGGACGGGUGAGUAACACGUGGAUAACCUACCUAUAAGACUGGGAUAACUUCGGGAAACCGGAGCUAAUACCGGAUAAUAUAUUGAACCGCAUGGUUCAAUAGUGACAGACGGUUUUGCUGUCACUUAUAGAUGGAUCCGCGCCGCAUUAGCUAGUUGGUAAGGUCACGGCUUACCAAGGCAACGAUGCGUAGCAGACCUGAGAGGGUGAUCGGCCACACUGGAACUGAGACACGGUCCAGACUCCUACGGGAGGCAGCAGUAGGGAAUCUUCCGCAAUGGGCGAAAGCCUGACGGAGCAACGCCGCGUGAGUGAUGAAGGUCUUCGGAUCGUAAAACUCUGUUAUUAGGGAAGAACAAAUGUGUAAGUAACUAUGCACGUCUUGACGGUACCUAAUCAGAAAGCCACGGCUAACUACGUG
RNAcentral lists this ribosomal RNA (497 nucleotides) under uncultured bacterium. RNAcentral describes it as "partial 16S ribosomal RNA". It matches the Rfam family "Bacterial small subunit ribosomal RNA", at positions 28 to 507 of the family's 1533-position model. The record is from RNAcentral.